Molecule: long non-coding RNA, 255 nt
Filed under: Elaeis guineensis (African oil palm)
Lineage: Eukaryota; Viridiplantae; Streptophyta; Magnoliopsida; Arecales; Arecaceae
Description: long non-coding RNA (EGUI_LNC033426)
Source: RNAcentral
UUCCCCCUCCACUUCCUAUGAAUCAAAUGAGUCGUAAUUAUUCGACUUAUAUCUAUAUUUUUAGUGUCCGAUUUGUAUCUGUAUUCGUUUAAAAUAAAUAUAGAUAUAAAUUUUUGCAUCCUACUAAUAUCUAUAUCCAUAUUUAUAUUUAUCAAAUAAAAUAAAUAUAGAUAUAAAUAUAUUGGUAUCCGAUCCAUAUCCGAUUUAGUUUCAAUCCUACAAAGCAACAAGUGAUUCAUUUAUCUACCUAUAUAA